Molecule: transfer RNA, 83 nt
Filed under: Felis catus (domestic cat)
Lineage: Eukaryota; Metazoa; Chordata; Mammalia; Carnivora; Felidae
Also listed under: 2 other names
Rfam family: tRNA
About the family: Transfer RNA (tRNA) molecules are approximately 80 nucleotides in length. Their secondary structure includes four short double-helical elements and three loops (D, anti-codon, and T loops).
Source: Rfam by way of RNAcentral
GCUCAGUUGGUCGAGUAUCAGACUCUUGAUUUCAGCUCAGGUCAUGGUCUCAUAGUUGGUGGGUUCAAGCCCCACAUUGGGCC